Molecule: ribosomal RNA, 1064 nt
Filed under: Botryosphaeria dothidea
Lineage: Eukaryota; Fungi; Ascomycota; Dothideomycetes; Botryosphaeriales; Botryosphaeriaceae
Description: SSU rRNA
Rfam family: Eukaryotic small subunit ribosomal RNA
Source: RNAcentral
UGACUGUCUAGUAUAAGCAAUCUAUACUGUGAAACUGCGAAUGGCUCAUUAAAUCAGUUAUCGUUUAUUUGAUAGUACCUUACUACUUGGAUAACCGUGGUAAUUCUAGAGCUAAUACAUGCUAAAAACCCCGACUUCGGGAGGGGUGUAUUUAUUAGAUAAAAAACCAAUGCCCUUCGGGGCUCUUUGGUGAUUCAUGAUAACUUAACGAAUCGCAUGGCCUUGCGCCGGCGAUGGUUCAUUCAAAUUUCUGCCCUAUUAACUUUCGAUGGUAGGAUAGAGGCCUACCAUGGUAUCAAUGGGUAACGGGGAAUUAGGGUUCUAUUCCGGAGAGGGAGCCUGAGAAACGGCUACCACAUCCAAGGAAGGCAGCAGGCGCGCAAAUUACCCAAUCCCGACACGGGGAGGUAGUGACAAUAAAUACUGAUACAGGGCUCUUUUGGGUCUUGUAAUUGGAAUGAGUACAAUUUAAAUACCUUAACGAGGAACAAUUGGAGGGCAAGUCUGGUGCCAGCAGCCGCGGUAAUUCCAGCUCCAAUAGCGUAUAUUAAAGUUGUUGCAGUUAAAAAGCUCGUAGUUGAACCUUGGGCCUGGCUGGCCGGUCCGCCUCACCGCGUGUACUGGUCCGGCCGGGCCUUUCCUUCUGGGGAUCCGCAUGGCCUUCACUGGCUGUGUCGGGGAACCAGGACUUUUACUUUGAAAAAAUUAGAGUGUUCAAAGCAGGCCUUUGCUCGAAUACAUUAGCAUGGAAUAAUAGAAUAGGACGUGCGGUCCUAUUUUGUUGGUUUCUAGGACCGCCGUAAUGAUUAAUAGGGAUAGUCGGGGGCAUCAGUAUUCAAUUGUCAGAGGUGAAAUUCUUGGAUUUAUUGAAGACUAACUACUGCGAAAGCAUUUGCCAAGGAUGUUUUCAUUAAUCAGUGAACGAAAGUUAGGGGAUCGAAGACGAUCAGAUACCGUCGUAGUCUUAACCGUAAACUAUGCCGACUAGGGAUCGGGCGAUGUUAUUCUUUUGACUCGCUCGGCACCUUACGAGAAAUCAAAGUCUUUGGGCUCUGGGGGAAGAG